RNAcentral lists this ribosomal RNA (253 nucleotides) under uncultured bacterium. RNAcentral describes it as "partial 16S ribosomal RNA". It matches the Rfam family "Bacterial small subunit ribosomal RNA", at positions 524 to 776 of the family's 1533-position model. The record is from RNAcentral.
UACGUAGGGUGCGAGCGUUGUCCGGAAUUAUUGGGCGUAAAGAGCUCGUAGGCGGUGUGUCACGUCGGCCGUGAAAUCCCUCAGCUUAACUGGGGAACUGCGUCCGAUACUGGAUGGCUUGGAUUUGGGAGAGGGAUGCGGAAUUCCAGGUGUAGCGGUGAAAUGCGUAGAUAUCGGGAGGAACACCAGUGGCGAAAGCGCCUUACUGGACCAUUACUGACGCUGAGGAACGAAAGCCAGGGUAGCGAAAGGG